Molecule: ribosomal RNA, 253 nt
Filed under: uncultured bacterium
Lineage: Bacteria
Description: partial 16S ribosomal RNA
Rfam family: Bacterial small subunit ribosomal RNA
Source: RNAcentral
UACGGAGGGUGCAAGCGUUAUCCGGAUUCACUGGGUUUAAAGGGUGCGUAGGUGGGCAGGUAAGUCAGUGGUGAAAUCUCCGGGCUUAACCCGGAAACUGCCGUUGAUACUAUUUGUCUUGAAUAUAGUGGAGGUGAGCGGAAUAUGUCAUGUAGCGGUGAAAUGCUUAGAUAUGACAUAGAACAUCGAUUGCGAAGGCAGCUUGCUACACUAUUAUUGACACUGAGGCACGAAAGCGUGGGGAUCAAACAGG